GUCAGUGUUGGUGGUUAGCUGUGUGUUAGUGUUAGCUAUGGACAGGUCAGUGUUGGUGGAUAGCUGUGUGUUAGCUAUGGACAGGUCAGUGUUGGUGGAUAGCUGUGUGUUAGCUAUGGACAGGUCAGUGUUGGUGGUUAGCUAUGGACAGGUCAGUGUUGGUGGAUAGCUGUGUAUUAGCUAUGGACAGGUCAGUGUUGGUGGUUAGCUGUGUGUUAGCUAUGGACAGGUCAGUGUUGGUGGAUAGCUGUGUGUUAGCUAUGGACAGGUCAGUGUUGGUGGAUAGCUGUGUAUUAGCUAUGGACAGGUCAGUGUUGGUGGUUAGCUGUGUAUUAGCUAUGGACAGGUCAGUGUUGGUGGAUAGCUGUGUGUUAGCUAUGGACAGGUCAGUGUUGGUGGAUAGCUGUGUGUUAGCUAUGGACAGGUCAGUGUUGGUGGAUAGCUGUGUAUUAGCUAUGGACAGGUCAGUGUUGGUGGUUAGCUGUGUAUUAGCUAUGGACAGGUCAGUGUUGGUGGAUAGCUGUGUAUUAGCUAUGGACAGGUCAGUGUUGGUGGAUAGCUGUGUGUUAGCUAUGGACAGGUCAGUGUUGGUGGUUAGCUAUGGACAGGUCAGUGUUGGUGGAUAGCUGUGUGUUAGCUAUGGACAGGUCAGUGUUGGUGGUUAGCUGUGUGUUAGCUAUGGACAGGUCAGUGUUGGUGGAUAGCUGUGUGUUAGCUAUGGACAGGUCAGUGUUGGUGGAUAGCUGUG
Molecule: long non-coding RNA, 748 nt
Filed under: Salmo salar (Atlantic salmon)
Lineage: Eukaryota; Metazoa; Chordata; Actinopteri; Salmoniformes; Salmonidae
Description: lncRNA (ENSSSAG00000087580.1, ENSSSAG00000107413.1)
Source: RNAcentral